This 305-nucleotide ribosomal RNA is filed under the name uncultured bacterium. Its description in RNAcentral is "bacterial SSU rRNA". It matches the Rfam family "Bacterial small subunit ribosomal RNA", at positions 335 to 633 of the family's 1533-position model. The record is from RNAcentral.
AUCCCUACGGGAGGCAGCAGUGGGGAAUAUUGCGCAAUGGGCGAAAGCCUGACGCAGCGACGCCGCGUGAGGGAUGAAGGUCUUCGGAUCGUAAACCUCUGUCAGCAGGGAAGAACGGUCACUGUGCUAAUCAGCAGUGAAUUGACGGUGCCUGCAAAGGAAGCACCGGCUAACUCCGUGCCAGCAGCCGCGGUAAUACGGAGGGGGCAAGCGUUAUCCGGAUUUAUUGGGUUUAAAGGGUGCGCAGGCGGGCUGUUAAGCCGGCGGUAAAAAUUCAGGGCUCAACCCUGUCGAGCCGUCGGAAC